UACGUAGGGUGCGAGCGUUAAUCGGAAUUACUGGGCGUAAAGUGUGCGCAGGCGGCUUGGCAAGUCGAGUGUGAAAUCCCCGGGCUUAACUUGGGAAUUGCGCUCGAAACUACCUGGCUAGAGUGUGGCAGAGGAAGGUGGAAUUCCACGUGUAGCGGUGAAAUGCGUAGAGAUGUGGAGGAACACCAGUGGCGAAGGCGACUCUUUGGCCUGUAACUGACACUGAGGCGCGAAAGCGUGGGGAGCAAACAGG
RNAcentral lists this ribosomal RNA (253 nucleotides) under uncultured bacterium. RNAcentral describes it as "partial 16S ribosomal RNA". It matches the Rfam family "Bacterial small subunit ribosomal RNA", at positions 524 to 776 of the family's 1533-position model. The record is from RNAcentral.